This 2787-nucleotide ribosomal RNA is filed under the name Escherichia coli. Its description in RNAcentral is "bacterial LSU rRNA". It matches the Rfam family "Bacterial large subunit ribosomal RNA". Lineage: Bacteria; Pseudomonadati; Pseudomonadota; Gammaproteobacteria; Enterobacterales; Enterobacteriaceae. The record is from RNAcentral.
AGCGUACACGGUGGAUGCCCUGGCAGUCAGAGGCGAUGAAGGACGUGCUAAUCUGCGAUAAGCGUCGGUGAGGUGAUAUGAACCGUUAUAACCGGCGAUUUCCGAAUGGGGAAACCCAGUGUGUUUCGACACACUAUCAUUAACUGAAUCCAUAGGUUAAUGAGGCGAACCGGGGGAACUGAAACAUCUAAGUACCCCGAGGAAAAGAAAUCAACCGAGAUUCCCCCAGUAGCGGCGAGCGAACGGGGAGGAGCCCAGAGCCUGAAUCAGUGUGUGUGUUAGUGGAAGCGUCUGGAAAGGCGCGCGAUACAGGGUGACAGCCCCGUACACAAAAAUGCACAUAUUGUGAGCUCGAUGAGUAGGGCGGGACACGUGGUAUCCUGUCUGAAUAUGGGGGGACCAUCCUCCAAGGCUAAAUACUCCUGACUGACCGAUAGUGAACCAGUACCGUGAGGGAAAGGCGAAAAGAACCCCGGCGAGGGGAGUGAAAAAGAACCUGAAACCGUGUACGUACAAGCAGUGGGAGCCUCUUAAUGGGGUGACUGCGUACCUUUUGUAUAAUGGGUCAGCGACUUAUAUUCUGUAGCAAGGUUAACCGAAUAGGGGAGCCGAAGGGAAACCGAGUCUUAACUGGGCGUUAAGUUGCAGGGUAUAGACCCGAAACCCGGUGAUCUAGCCAUGGGCAGGUUGAAGGUUGGGUAACACUAACUGGAGGACCGAACCGACUAAUGUUGAAAAAUUAGCGGAUGACUUGUGGCUGGGGGUGAAAGGCCAAUCAAACCGGGAGAUAGCUGGUUCUCCCCGAAAGCUAUUUAGGUAGCGCCUCGUGAAUUCAUCUCCGGGGGUAGAGCACUGUUUCGGCAAGGGGGUCAUCCCGACUUACCAACCCGAUGCAAACUGCGAAUACCGGAGAAUGUUAUCACGGGAGACACACGGCGGGUGCUAACGUCCGUCGUGAAGAGGGAAACAACCCAGACCGCCAGCUAAGGUCCCAAAGUCAUGGUUAAGUGGGAAACGAUGUGGGAAGGCCCAGACAGCCAGGAUGUUGGCUUAGAAGCAGCCAUCAUUUAAAGAAAGCGUAAUAGCUCACUGGUCGAGUCGGCCUGCGCGGAAGAUGUAACGGGGCUAAACCAUGCACCGAAGCUGCGGCAGCGACACUAUGUGUUGUUGGGUAGGGGAGCGUUCUGUAAGCCUGUGAAGGUGGCCUGUGAGGGUUGCUGGAGGUAUCAGAAGUGCGAAUGCUGACAUAAGUAACGAUAAAGCGGGUGAAAAGCCCGCUCGCCGGAAGACCAAGGGUUCCUGUCCAACGUUAAUCGGGGCAGGGUGAGUCGACCCCUAAGGCGAGGCCGAAAGGCGUAGUCGAUGGGAAACAGGUUAAUAUUCCUGUACUUGGUGUUACUGCGAAGGGGGGACGGAGAAGGCUAUGUUGGCCGGGCGACGGUUGUCCCGGUUUAAGCGUGUAGGCUGGUUUUCCAGGCAAAUCCGGAAAACCAAGGCUGAGGCGUGAUGACGAGGCACUACGGUGCUGAAGCGACAAAUGCCCUGCUUCCAGGAAAAGCCUCUAAGCAUCAGGUAACAUCAAAUCGUACCCCAAACCGACACAGGUGGUCAGGUAGAGAAUACCAAGGCGCUUGAGAGAACUCGGGUGAAGGAACUAGGCAAAAUGGUGCCGUAACUUCGGGAGAAGGCACGCUGAUAUGUAGGUGAAGCGACUUGCUCGUGGAGCUGAAAUCAGUCGAAGAUACCAGCUGGCUGCAACUGUUUAUUAAAAACACAGCACUGUGCAAACACGAAAGUGGACGUAUACGGUGUGACGCCUGCCCGGUGCCGGAAGGUUAAUUGAUGGGGUUAGCGGUAACGCGAAGCUCUUGAUCGAAGCCCCGGUAAACGGCGGCCGUAACUAUAACGGUCCUAAGGUAGCGAAAUUCCUUGUCGGGUAAGUUCCGACCUGCACGAAUGGCGUAAUGAUGGCCAGGCUGUCUCCACCCGAGACUCAGUGAAAUUGAACUCGCUGUGAAGAUGCAGUGUACCCGCGGCAAGACGGAAAGACCCCGUGAACCUUUACUAUAGCUUGACACUGAACAUUGAGCCUUGAUGUGUAGGAUAGGUGGGAGGCUUUGAAGUGUGGACGCCAGUCUGCAUGGAGCCGACCUUGAAAUACCACCCUUUAAUGUUUGAUGUUCUAACGUUGGCCCCUAAUCGGGGUUGCGGACAGUGUCUGGUGGGUAGUUUGACUGGGGCGGUCUCCUCCUAAAGAGUAACGGAGGAGCACGAAGGUUGGCUAAUCCUGGUCGGACAUCAGGAGGUUAGUGCAAUGGCAUAAGCCAGCUUGACUGCGAGCGUGACGGCGCGAGCAGGUGCGAAAGCAGGUCAUAGUGAUCCGGUGGUUCUGAAUGGAAGGGCCAUCGCUCAACGGAUAAAAGGUACUCCGGGGAUAACAGGCUGAUACCGCCCAAGAGUUCAUAUCGACGGCGGUGUUUGGCACCUCGAUGUCGGCUCAUCACAUCCUGGGGCUGAAGUAGGUCCCAAGGGUAUGGCUGUUCGCCAUUUAAAGUGGUACGCGAGCUGGGUUUAGAACGUCGUGAGACAGUUCGGUCCCUAUCUGCCGUGGGCGCUGGAGAACUGAGGGGGGCUGCUCCUAGUACGAGAGGACCGGAGUGGACGCAUCACUGGUGUUCGGGUUGUCAUGCCAAUGGCACUGCCCGGUAGCUAAAUGCGGAAGAGAUAAGUGCUGAAAGCAUCUAAGCACGAAACUUGCCCCGAGAUGAGUUCUCCCUGACUCCUUGA